This 78-nucleotide microRNA precursor is filed under the name Echinococcus granulosus. Its description in RNAcentral is "microRNA egr-mir-10284 precursor". Lineage: Eukaryota; Metazoa; Platyhelminthes; Cestoda; Cyclophyllidea; Taeniidae. The record is from miRBase by way of RNAcentral.
CGGAGGGGUCUGGGAGCUUCUGGCAUGGCCCAAGGGUCAUAAUGCUGGGCAAGAAGUACAAUGACCGUGUCCUUUAAU